UUAUGGUUUAAAAAAUUUAUUUUGAAUUUAUUUUACAUAUAAAUUUUAGUGUUAUUUAUUGAUUAUUUAAAUAAUAUUUAAUUUUUACGUAGUAAUUAAAUUUAAAAAUUUAAGAAAUUAAGAUUUAGUAAUAUAUAUAUUGUUAAUAACUAAUUUUGUGCCAGCAGUUGCGGUUAAACAAAAAUUAAUUUAAAUUUUUUUAGUAAUUAAUAUUUAAUUAUUUGUUAUAAAUUAAAUUUUAAAUUAUAAAGUGAAAUUUUAAUUUAAUAAAAGUUUAUUUUUUAAUUAUAAUUUAAUAAAUUUUUUUUAAAAACUAGGAUUAGAUACCCUAUUAUUAAAAAUUUAAAUUAAUAAUACUUAAAUAGUAGAUAAUUAUUUAUUGAAACUUAAAUAAUUUGGCGGUAUUUUAGUUUAUUUAGAGGAAUCUGUUUAAUAAUUGAUAUUCCACGAUUAAAUUUACUUAAUUUAAUAUUUUGUAUAUCGUUGUUAAAAAAAUAUUUUUUUAUAAUAUUAAUAUUUAAAAUUUUUAAAUUUAAGUUAAAUCAGAUCAAGAUGCAGAUUAUAAUUAAGUUUUAUAAUGGAUUACAAUAAAAUUAUUUAAUUGGAAAUUAAUUUGAAAUAAUUAAAUGAAAUUGGAUUUAAAUGUAAAUUUAUUUAAAUAAAUAAAUUGAUUAAAUAUUAAAAUAUGUACAUAUUGCCCGUCGCUUUCAUUUAUAAAUUGAAAUAAGUCGUAACAAAGUAGAGGUACUGGAAAGUGUUUCUAGAAAGAU
RNAcentral lists this non-coding RNA (770 nucleotides) under Rhodoprasina callantha. Lineage: Eukaryota; Metazoa; Arthropoda; Insecta; Lepidoptera; Sphingidae. The record is from RNAcentral.